RNAcentral lists this small nuclear RNA (109 nucleotides) under Capra hircus (goat). Lineage: Eukaryota; Metazoa; Chordata; Mammalia; Artiodactyla; Bovidae. The record is from RNAcentral.
GUGCUCGCUUCGGCAGCACAUAUACUAAAAAAUUGGAACGAUACAGAGAAGAUUAGCAUGGCCCCUGCACAAGGAUGACACGCAAAUUCGUGAAGCGUUCCAUAUUUUU